UUGGUCAUCCUGUAGAUGUGAGCCAAGAUUUAAUACCUGGCUUGAAAUUCAUGACUCCUGCUUAUGGACAGUGUCCUCCCUUCCUUAUAGCUUUUACUUAUUACUUUUUUUAGUAAAUGUAUUAUAGUGGAAGGAAUUACCAUGACAGCUGAGGAUAAAAGUGUCCUUGACAUGAGCUGUGAAAACCUGGGAAGCAGCCCACCUUUCUUACCUCUUCUCUCAUUUGUAACAGGUCUUUCCAACAUAUUUCUUCCUGCAUGAGUAGGAAUGUAAGUAAAUGAAGCAAUUCACAGUAAUUUGGACAUAAAGGAUUCUCUGAGGGAAGGUGAGGACCUCCACUGAACUGGCCCCUGCCUCUUGCUUCCCAUAGCACAUCCAUACCCUGCUCCCAGCGCCAUGGAUUUGUGCCCGAGACCACAGCAGUUCUCAUGUACAUCAGGUCAGGAAUUUCCUGAGCUAGAAAACGUAUCCGUGACUUUGGAAAGUGGGCCGUGUGCCCCAGACAAGUGGUUUGUGAUGUGAUUGUCCCAUUCAUUGAGCUGGCACCAAUUUGAGCAUUUUGAUCAAUGUAGAUUCUUGCCUCAAACUAGAGUGCUUAUUUGAG
RNAcentral lists this long non-coding RNA (604 nucleotides) under Cyanistes caeruleus (blue tit). RNAcentral describes it as "lncRNA (ENSCCEG00000015527.1)". The record is from RNAcentral. Lineage: Eukaryota; Metazoa; Chordata; Aves; Passeriformes; Paridae.